Monodelphis domestica (gray short-tailed opossum) is the source of this 1962-nucleotide long non-coding RNA. Lineage: Eukaryota; Metazoa; Chordata; Mammalia; Didelphimorphia; Didelphidae. The record is from Ensembl.
AUGUCUGUCUCUCUCUUCUCUUUCCCUCCCUAUCUCUUUCUCUCUCCCAGUCUCACGCUCUUCUCCCUCUCCCACUUCCCUUCUCUCUCCCCUCUCCUCUUUCCCUGCUUCCCUCUGUCUCUUUUGUAUGUCUUCCUCCUUCCUCUCCCUUCUCGUCUCCCUCUCGUCUCCCUCUCUCCUCUCUCUCUCUCUCUCUCUCUCCUCUCUCUUUCCUCUUUCUCUCUCUCUCUCUCUCUCUCUCUCUCUCUCUCUCUCUCUCUCUCUCUCUCUCUCUCUCUCUCCCUGAAUCCAUCAAUCUAUCUCUCUUCCCUCUCCAUUUCUGUCUCCUUGUCUCCCAGUUUCUCUCACCCUGUCCCUCAGUCUCCUUUCCUCUCCCUCCAGCCGCCCGCCUCACGUCCCCCUUCCCCGCCUCCCAGCCCCGCCUGCUGUCUCGGACACCCUGCUGGGUUCUUACCCCGGUUGCCCGGGUAACCACCCCCCCCACUCUGGUCACCUCCACCCUAUCUCUCCCGCCCCCCGCCCUCCCACCACCUUCCACUACCCUCCAUCCACCUUCCUCCAAUUUUUCCCAAGAGCCAAUGGGAACACUGUUGCCAGGUGGAAUGCUCAUUUGAAUCAGCCAAUCCCAGUACCCAUCCUCUUGCUCUGCCUUAUAUGGGUAUGUGAGCGGGGCCAGUCCCCCUCCCCCCUCUCCUCCAAACCCUUGGGGGCUUUGGCCCCCAAUUACUCGCCCCAACACACACUCCUGAUUAAGGACCCCUUCUCUCCGUCCCCCACGGGGGGGAUUUAGUCCCCAUUUCUCCCCUUGGGGCUCUCUGCGGGAGCUGUAGGGUGUGGGUUGGGCCCCCGGGGCGGGAAUGGGAAUGGGGUGUGAUUGGGGAAGGGGCGGAGGGGGCUGGGAUUUUUGCCCAGGGAGGGGUGUCUGGGAGCCGAGGCAGCUGCAGUGGAAAAUUCCAGGGAGAUGGAAGCAAAGUGGAGAAGCCGACACUGGGAAUGCUGCCCCCCAGGCCUCCUAGAGCCCCGGAGAUUCAGGGAACUGGGACACCAGGGUUCCAGGGGAGAAGAAACGAAACUAAGAAUCUGGAAACCCGGGUUUCAUCCCAUUUCUGGGAUGCUGCGAGGAGCGCUGCCCUCCUCUACCUGAGCUAACGGGCUGCAGUCACCUGAAUGCAUGGCCUCCAGAGAAAGGGGGUCUGAAGGGCCGUAGGGCAAAGGUUUGGGGGGGUGGGAGCUGCAGCCCCAGCCCGAAGGAUGCCUUCGCGGAUGAUCAGCCAUUUCCGGGUCCGCGUAAGACCUCCACUUCAAUUUUUAUUCCACCCUUCUCCGCAAAGGUCAUGGGACUGGGUAUAUCUAUCCUUAAGCAGGACUGGGUAUAUAACAUGGUCACAAGGCUGCUCUGUUCCAUAGACUGGCUAUUUCUAAGACUCUUACUAAACUAGACUACUCUGAAUAUAAUAUACUCUCCUACUGGGAUCAUCCCCCUAGAGAGAGACUCGGAUCUUGUGAAGAAAACUGUAUUUUUUCUCAUACCCUUCAGAAGGUGGUGAGGAGAAGAAAAAUGGAAAGGCAACAGAAAUUUCCAUGGGACUGCUGGGUGGCCAUUAUUCCCCACCUAAAUUAGUCUCCCUUUCCCUGAUGAAAUCUUUCCCUCCGUAGCUUCUCUUUCUUUUGUUCUUUUUAGGUUUUGUUGCUUAAAUUUAUUUGUUAAGAUAUUCCUGGUCCCAAUUCUGGCCUGGAAAAAAAGAGUUGGAAGCUAGAUUCCUCGGGAGUUCACCUAUUUUCCUUCAUCAGGGUUUCCCCUUCAACGUUUCAUUAGCUGUUAUUCUUUUUUCUUUUCAGAUAUCAAGCUAAAGGAUAAUUGAGGGAGAUGGAGCUCUUUUUGAGGCCCAAACGACUCUAAUGGUUCUAGAGAGUGGGUUGCCUUACUAAGGAGUACUCAAUAAAUGACAAUUCAUCACAACA